Molecule: RNA transcript, 770 nt
Organism: Lipotes vexillifer (Yangtze River dolphin)
Lineage: Eukaryota; Metazoa; Chordata; Mammalia; Artiodactyla; Lipotidae
Gene name: enhancer of rudimentary homolog pseudogene
Exons: 1
Source: RefSeq, a predicted model, not a curated record
CGGAGUCGGCAGCGGCGGCAGCGAGAGUUUGGCGCGAUGUCUCACACCAUUUUGCUGGUACAGCCUACCAAGAGGCCAGAAGCAGAACUUAUGCUGACUAUGAAUCUGUGAAUGAAUGCAUGGAAGGUGUUUGUAAAAUGUAUGAAGAACACCUGAAGAGAAUGAAUCCCAACAGCCCCUCUAUCACAUAUGAUAUCAGUCAGUUAUUUGACUUCGUUGAUGACCUGGCAGACCUCAGCUGCCUUGUUUACCGAGCUGAUACCCAGACAUACCAGCAUUAUAACAAAGACUGGAGUAAAGAGAAGAUCUACGUGCUCCUUCGUCGACAGGCCCAACAGGCCGGGAAAUAGUUGAGUUUGGAAGCGUUAGGGGGAUGGGGGUGGGCUUGGAACACCCAGGUGUGUACAGUGUGCUGUAGCAGGAGUUUUGUAUUACAGUAAAUCCUGUCUCCAUCUUGGUACACUCUAGCCAGGAUUGAGUGUAUUAGAUGAAACAGGAUCUUGUUCAAUCUGAAACCCCCUUUGCCCCCUUCUCUCCACUCCUUUUUUUUUUUUUUACUUUAACAUUUUUAUGACGAUAUAGGUGGAAGUUGGUUUUUGUCAGUUAAUGUUGUUUCCGGUCCUUCAGACUGUUCGUAUCUGCUUUAUAACAUUCACUGUACUAACCCUUCUUCAAAUCAGGGUGGGGGUGGUGACGCGGUUUAGUUACGUCCUCAAGACAAAGUCUUAGUGAGAAACAAAUAAAUGUCCUUUAGUUAAAAAAAAAAAAAA